This is a non-coding RNA of Podarcis muralis (Common wall lizard), 1382 nucleotides long. The record is from RefSeq and is a predicted model, not a curated record. Lineage: Eukaryota; Metazoa; Chordata; Lepidosauria; Squamata; Lacertidae.
UUCAGGUUAAGUACGGACCUCCGGAACGAAUUAAGUACUUAACCCAAGGUACCACUGUACAAACAAGUGGCCUAUUUGGGUUUUGAAUUUGAGACAAUGUGAAAUGCCGUACCCAAACUGGAUGGCAUGAGAAGAGCCAUAUAAAAUCUGAAUUCCAAUAAAAGCAAGUGCACUUGCUUUCCCUCAGGUCUGUUUUAAGAUGCCGCACACUUGUGUGCAACAAUAUCAGUGUUACUGGUGAUGCAUUCUCUUUUCUAUGAUGCAUUAUUCAACACCGAUCGUAGCUGGCUACACAGGUUGAACAGAAGGAAGGAAGAGGGGAAAAGUCACAGUAAGACAACGAUAAAUCAUUUCAGCUCCUUUCCAAAAGGAACUGUGUUAAGAAGGGGGAGGGAUCAUAUCAAUUCCCCCAUUUUUUCAGUAUAAUUUAAUGUAUAACCUCUAAAAAGCAUACGCUGAGCACAUGUAGGGAUUGGGUUUCCACUGAAACACAGCCAUUGCUGUGAUACAAGAGGCCAGCUCACAAAUGCCACAUUGCAAGGACACCAGAACAAAAGGCUGCCUGUAAUAAUUAAUGAUGCCUUGUCUGCCUAUGAGGCAAGCUGAGUGUGACGGAAUUAAAACCUACAGCAACUAGAACUGGACUCUCACUCUUUAGCCCAGUAAAAUGGUGCCUGGCCAUCUGGGUGCAUGUUAUCCAAGAGGAUGACUUUGAACAGUAGAGCCUUCCAUAAAUGCAGGAUCAUGAUUCGGUGCUGUUAUGCAGGCAGCAGUACGUCCAUAUCUUGCUGUAGGCAAAUAGCUCACUCACAUGUGUGGUUUCUGUUUGAAAGAAGAAACGGGUGUGGGUGGAAAGUGUUCUAACAGGCAUGUUUUGUCUGCUCUUCCCAUGAACUCUAUAACCAGCUUGCCAAAAGCAGCGGUCACAUCUCAAUGGUAUCUUGUGUGCAAACAUUCCUAAGUCUUUCAUCAAUGCUCCUUGUCAAAAUGUAUGCUUUAAACUAAAAGUGGUUGCACUCCUCAUUGAUUUCUUUUACUCAAACGAAGCUAAUUUUGGACAGCCGUAAAAGAAAACAAGAUGCCCAGGUCUGGACUCUUCAAAAGAAAUCUCACGCUUCAUGUGGUUUUGGCAGCUGUUUGCCCAUCAUCUGUGGUUCUUCAAAAUACUGACAAUUUGAUGUCUCUGGGUAACAUCAUACUCCAGGAAAAUUAGCUCAAAAUGUCUCCUACUGGCUUCCAUCUGUAUGUCGGUGUACACAGGAACUUGUAUGUAAGCUUGAGAAGCCAGGAGCUUUCUCAAUAAGGAAGCAUCAUGCUGCUUCUCUCCAACAACACAGUUCUUUUUAAGUUCAAAUUAAAACCCUACUGAACAUUACACUUCA